Molecule: ribosomal RNA, 529 nt
Filed under: Acidovorax sp. Ao7
Lineage: Bacteria; Pseudomonadati; Pseudomonadota; Betaproteobacteria; Burkholderiales; Comamonadaceae
Description: bacterial SSU rRNA
Rfam family: Bacterial small subunit ribosomal RNA
Source: RNAcentral
GGCGAACGGGUGAGUAAUACAUCGGAACGUGCCCGAUCGUGGGGGAUAACGGAGCGAAAGCUUUGCUAAUACCGCAUACGAUCUACGGAUGAAAGCAGGGGACCGCAAGGCCUUGCGCGGACGGAGCGGCCGAUGGCAGAUUAGGUAGUUGGUGGGAUAAAAGCUUACCAAGCCGACGAUCUGUAGCUGGUCUGAGAGGACGACCAGCCACACUGGGACUGAGACACGGCCCAGACUCCUACGGGAGGCAGCAGUGGGGAAUUUUGGACAAUGGGCGAAAGCCUGAUCCAGCCAUGCCGCGUGCAGGAUGAAGGCCUUCGGGUUGUAAACUGCUUUUGUACGGAACGAAAAGACUCCUUCUAAUAAAGGGGGUCCAUGACGGUACCGUAAGAAUAAGCACCGGCUAACUACGUGCCAGCAGCCGCGGUAAUACGUAGGGUGCAAGCGUUAAUCGGAAUUACUGGGCGUAAAGCGUGCGCAGGCGGUUAUAUAAGACAGAUGUGAAAUCCCCGGGCUCAACCUGGGAACU